CUCAACACGGAGCCUUGUCUCGUUCUUGGGGGGAUUCACUGUAUGCUGUUAGAGACUGAUUGCCAGGAGGGUAAGCUGAUUGUCUGCUUUUCCUGUUCGUCUGCUAGCAGCUAUUUGGGAGGUUCCAGUUCGGGAGUUGGAGUGCUAUUUUGUAUCCAGUUUGGGAGUUUGGUGUUCUGCAGUAGCUGUGCCUAUAUCUCUG
This is a non-coding RNA of Pelobates cultripes (western spadefoot toad), 202 nucleotides long. The record is from the annotation of a GenBank genome assembly. NCBI's taxonomy places the organism in Eukaryota, Metazoa, Chordata, Amphibia, Anura, Pelobatidae.